CCAAACUUGGUCAUUUAGAGGAAGUAAAAGUCGUAACAAGGUUUCCGUAGGUGAACCUGCGGAAGGAUCAUUAUUGAAUUCAAAGUGAAGCUGUUGCUGGCUCUCUCGAGGGCACUGUGCACGCUUUGCUACUAUAAUUCAAACCACCUGUGAACUACUUCAAUAGACUUGGGUUGAACGCCUUUAGAUUCGAGUCUAUUGCUACUACACACUACAAAGUCAUUGAAUGUUAAUUGGGUAGUCGGAAUUUAAUACAACUUUCAACAACGGAUCUCUUGGCUCUCGCAUCGAUGAAGAACGCAGC
This 304-nucleotide unclassified non-coding RNA is filed under the name uncultured fungus. RNAcentral describes it as "partial contains small subunit ribosomal RNA, internal transcribed spacer 1, and 5.8S ribosomal RNA". The stretch from base 1 to 73 matches the Rfam family "Eukaryotic small subunit ribosomal RNA", at positions 1759 to 1831 of the family's 1831-position model. Lineage: Eukaryota; Fungi. The record is from RNAcentral.